This 275-nucleotide ribosomal RNA is filed under the name uncultured bacterium. Its description in RNAcentral is "partial 16S ribosomal RNA". It matches the Rfam family "Bacterial small subunit ribosomal RNA", at positions 523 to 797 of the family's 1533-position model. The record is from RNAcentral.
AUACGAAGGGGGCUAGCGUUGGUCGGAAUUACUGGGCGUAAAGCGCGCGUAGGCGGAUUGGUCAGUUAGGGGUGAAAUCCCAGGGCUUAACACUGGAACUGCCUCCAAUACUGUCAGUCUUGAGUUCGGGAGAGGUGAGUGGAAUUCCUAGUGUAGAGGUGAAAUUCGUAGAUAUUAGGAAGAACACCAGUGGCGAAGGCGGCUCACUGGCCCGAUACUGACGCUGAGGCGCGAAAGCGUAGGGAGCAAACAGGAUUAGAUACCCUAGUAGUCCC